This 638-nucleotide ribosomal RNA is filed under the name Amphistegina lessonii. RNAcentral's name for it is "SSU rRNA". It matches the Rfam family "Eukaryotic small subunit ribosomal RNA", at positions 1176 to 1804 of the family's 1831-position model. The record is from RNAcentral. Lineage: Eukaryota; Foraminifera; Rotaliida; Amphisteginidae.
GUGGAGCAUGUGGCUUAAUUUGACUCAACGCGGGGAAUCUUACUAGGUCAGGACCAUCGAUGCGUGUGUUCGCGUCGUAUGUAUGAUUGUCGCAGUGUCGCUGCUACAAAAUUAUUUGAUGAGUGGUGCAUGGCCGUUCUUAGUUCGUGAUGCAAUUUGUCUACUUAAUUGUUGGUUGCGUAUGUUUCAUCGCAUCGUAACCGUAACGAACGAGACCGUGUUGUGUACGUAGCUACUCGCUGCGACAUUCGUACAUCGACAGAACAACCGCAAACUUGUUAGGAAGGACACGGCAAUAACAGGUCUGUGAUGCCCUCAGAUGUUCUAGGCCGCACACGUGCUACAAUCUGAUUGAUUCCGUAUACGUAUCACGUGUGUGUAAGAUUCACCGCUGCGAGUCGAACCAACGUCACCGAUGGUUGGGAUCGUCGUUUGUAACUAUUCGACGUCACAACUAGGAAUGCCUCGUACGGUGCAGUUCAACAGAUUCCCUGGAAUCCGUCCCUGCCCUUUGUACACACCGCCCGUCGCUCUUACCGAUGGUGGUGGGUUCGAGUUGUGACGAAUGAUGUCUCGUACAUUGUGAAUCGCUACGAGAACCCACUGCUAAAGGAAAGAGAAGUCGUAACAAGGCAUCG